ACGGCUCAGUAACACGUGGAUAACCUGCCCUGCGGUGGGAAAUAACCCCGGGAAACUGGGGAUAAUGUCCCAUAGGCUACGGAUGCUGGAAUGCUCUGUAGCUCAAAGAUUUAUCGCCACAGGAUGGGUCUGCGGCCGAUUAGGUAGUUGUUGGGGUAACGGCCCAACAAGCCUUUGAUCGGUACGGGUUGUGGGAGCAAGAGCCCGGAGAUGGAUUCUGAGACACGAAUCCAGGCCCUACGGGGCGCAGCAGGCGCGAAAACUUUACAAUGCGGGAAACCGUGAUAAGGGAACUCCGAGUGUCCGUAAAUGCGGACUGUCCGUAUGUUUAAAAAGCAUGCGAAGAAAGGGCCGGGCAAGACCGGUGCCAGCCGCCGCGGUAAUACCGGCGGCUCGAGUGGUGGCCACUAUUACUGGGCUUAAAGCGUUCGUAGCUGGGUUGUUAAGUCUCUUGGGAAAUCUACCGGCUUAACCGAUAGGCGUCCAAGGGAUACUGGCAAUCUAGGGACCGGGAGAGGUGAGGGGUACUUCAGGGGUAGGAGUGAAAUCCUGUAAUCCUUGGGGGACCACCUGUGGCGUAGGCGCCUCACCAGAACGGCUCCGACAGUGAGGGACGAAAGCUGGGGGAGCAAACCGGAUUAGAUACCCGGGUAGUCCCAGCCGUAAACGAUGCGCGUUAGGUGUAUCGAUGACCACGAGUCAUCGAGGUGCCGAAGGGAAACCGUGAAACGUGCCGCCUGGGAAGUACGGUCGCAAGGCUGAAACUUAAAGGAAUUGGCGGGGGAGCAC
This 789-nucleotide ribosomal RNA is filed under the name uncultured archaeon. RNAcentral describes it as "bacterial SSU rRNA". It matches the Rfam family "Archaeal small subunit ribosomal RNA", at positions 85 to 879 of the family's 1478-position model. The record is from RNAcentral.